CUUAGUGGCAGACGGGUGAGUAACAUGUGGGUAUCUACCCUUUGGCCUGGAAUAACACGAGGAAACUUGUGCUAAUACCGGAUAAGUCUUUACGGAGAAAGCUUUAUGCACCAUUGGAUGAGCCCGCACUUGAUUAGUUUGUUGGUAGGGUAAUGGCCUACCAAGACUAUGAUCAAUAGCUGAUUUGAGAGGAUGAUCAGCCACAUUGGGACUGAGACACGGCCCAAACUCCUACGGGAGGCAGCAGUGGGGAAUCUUGCACAAUGGAGGAAACUCUGAUGCAGCGAUGCCGCGUGAGUGAAGAAGGCCUUUGGGUUGUAAAGCUCUUUCGUCGGGGAAGAAAAUGACUGUACCCGAAUAAGAAGGUCCGGCUAACUUCGUGCCAGCAGCCGCGGUAAUACGAAGGGACCUAGCGUAGUUCGGAAUUACUGGGCUUAAAGAGUUCGUAGGUGGUUGAAAAAGUUGGUGGUGAAAUCCCAGAGCUUAACUCUGGAACUGCCAUCAAAACUUUUCAGCUAGAGUAUGAUA
This 528-nucleotide ribosomal RNA is filed under the name uncultured Pelagibacterales bacterium. Its description in RNAcentral is "bacterial SSU rRNA". It matches the Rfam family "Bacterial small subunit ribosomal RNA", at positions 91 to 653 of the family's 1533-position model. Lineage: Bacteria; Pseudomonadati; Pseudomonadota; Alphaproteobacteria; Candidatus Pelagibacterales. The record is from RNAcentral.